This 740-nucleotide ribosomal RNA is filed under the name Rubrivivax sp. Its description in RNAcentral is "bacterial SSU rRNA". It matches the Rfam family "Bacterial small subunit ribosomal RNA", at positions 1 to 738 of the family's 1533-position model. Lineage: Bacteria; Pseudomonadati; Pseudomonadota; Betaproteobacteria; Burkholderiales; Sphaerotilaceae. The record is from RNAcentral.
GAACUGAAGAGUUUGAUCCUGGCUCAGAUUGAACGCUGGCGGCAUGCCUUACACAUGCAAGUCGAACGGUAACGCGGGGCAACCUGGCGACGAGUGGCGAACGGGUGAGUAACGCAUCGGAACGUGCCCAGUAGUGGGGGAUAGCCCGGCGAAAGCCGGAUUAAUACCGCAUACGACCUACGGGUGAAAGCGGGGGACCGUAAGGCCUCGCGCUAUUGGAGCGGCCGAUGUCAGAUUAGGUAGUUGGUGGGGUAAAAGCCUACCAAGCCGACGAUCUGUAGCUGGUCUGAGAGGACGACCAGCCACACUGGGACUGAGACACGGCCCAGACUCCUACGGGAGGCAGCAGUGGGGAAUUUUGGACAAUGGGCGCAAGCCUGAUCCAGCCAUGCCGCGUGCGGGAUGAAGGCCUUCGGGUUGUAAACCGCUUUUGUCAGGGAAGAAACGCUCCGGGCCAAUACCCUGGGGUGAUGACGGUACCUGAAGAAUAAGCACCGGCUAACUACGUGCCAGCAGCCGCGGUAAUACGUAGGGUGCAAGCGUUAAUCGGAAUUACUGGGCGUAAAGCGUGCGCAUGCGGUUUUGUAAGACAGAGGUGAAAUCCCCGGGCUCAACCUGGGAACUGCCUUUGUGACUGCAAAGCUUGAGUGCGGCAGAGGGGGAUGGAAUUCCGCGUGUAGCAGUGAAAUGCGUAGAUAUGCGGAGGAACACCGAUGGCGAAGGCAAUCCCCUGGGCCUGC